CAGAAGGCAGAUUCUCAACCACUGAGCCACCCAGGCAUCCUGAGCACGUGACUCUUGAUUUUGGGAUUGUGCAUUUGAGCCCCCCAUUAGGUGUAGAGAUUACUUAAAAAUAAGAUCUUACCAGAAAAUUUAGAGUUGCUAAUUCUAUAGAAACAUAAACCCAUCCAUUAAUUUUUUAAAAAUUAUUUUAAAGUAAUCUUUACCCAAGGUGAGACUGGAACUCAAAACCUGAGAUCAAGAGUCACAUGCUCUAGAAACUGAGCCCCCCGCAACACCCAUAUGUUUACAUGUAAACCCAAUGUUUACAUGUAAACCCAAUGUUUACAAAUAAUCUAGUAAAUCUAAUGACAGUAGUUUCUCAGGCUUUUUCAAUGGCUUUUAUAAAAGUCACAAAAUUGGGUUAAAUGAAGACCAACUACUUCAUUUAAAAUAAGAGAUAGGCACAUACCUGGAUUUUAAGAAGUCAGGAUUUUCUGUUGGGUACCAGCAUUUCUCAGAAAAGGAUUUUCCUUCUGACAGGUUAAUAUUUAGGAGGAAGGUUUUUGACCCCACCGCCGCCAUAUUGAGAGAUUGUGUUUUCAGCAUUGUUUUGUUGCUGUCAUAGUAUUCAGAAAUAGUUAUUAACAGGGAAAGUUGGUAGUGAAUUUGUUUUUUUUGCAGUUUUCAACUAAACCUUGUGAAACUACUUGCUGAGAAAGCAGUUAUUGUUAUCUGGUCUCUCUAUAUAUUUUAAAGAUUUAUUUAUUCAUGAGAGAGAGAGAGGCAGGCUCCUCAAAGGGAGGCCAAAGCAGGACUCCGUCCCCUAACACGGGAUCAGGCCCUGACCCAAAGGCGGACGCUCAACUGCGGGACACCCAGGUAUCCCUUAUCUGGUCUAUGUUAAGAAGCCAAAGCAUCACACAUCUCAUGAUAAGUAUUUCCUUUUUGUUUCAUCUAUUUUCCCUUCCGCCGCUAUUCUGUAUCAGCCAUGAGGUUGCUGUUGGAAUUCAGGGACAAAUAAGAGGUCAUAUAAUAUAGGCCAUUGCAUAAUGAUGAAAUAUCAAUUCUGUAGUCUGUCUCUAAGGCUCUGUCCUUAAUAAUAAAAUACAUUGUGCUGUGAUGGUUGUAAAGCUAUCACUCCAAGUUAGAUAUUAAUUAUUUUUAAUUCACAUGAUUGUGAUUUACUUUCAGGUUUUUAUGUGUUCAAUCUUCAAGAAUCAUUUACGUUUACCUGGUAAAAAAACCAAUGGAGAGGUUAUGUUCACAAGCUUUUUAAGGUAUACUUUGGAAAUAUUGUGAAUUUGACCCCAGACCUCUGUAAUAAAUGAGAAAACCAACGCGCAGAAAGCUGGGGCCUCGCCCAGGGCCUGGUCCCUCAGCUCCCGGACCUCCUGCAGCACCCUCUUCGCCUGGCUCCAGUUCGACGACGCCUCUCCCAGCAGCCGCUCUGUCUCUAGCAGCAGCUGUUCCGACUCGGAAUCAGGAGGAGACCAAGGGGGGUCCUUGGCCUUCCGCUUCCCGUCUCCCAGGCCCUGAACCUCUGCCAGCAGCUCCUGAGUCUUUUCCAGUUUCCUGGCUACCAGGUCCUGGAUCCGGGACAGCUGGGCCGGGUGGGGCGGAAGGAGGGUGGGGGGGUCCUCGGGCCGCAGCGGGUUGGUGCAGGGGGGGACAGCGUCCCGCCGGGACAGGAUCUCCUCCAGGGAGGCACAGCGGCCUUUCUCUGUAGGGGUCAGCUUCUUGGGUGCCUGAGGGGUAUAGGUGGCCCCUUUGUCCGGCUUCUCCCAAGACCGGGGAAGGCCGCCGGCCCGCUCUGAGGAGGGCUGGACGUGGUCCGAGUCUGCUCUCCGCCGGCUGCCGGCUAGCUGGGCCGCUGACUUGUCCAGGUCCACCCUGAAGCUGUCGGCGCAGGAGGUGCGCUCCUCGGGGGAAGGCUCCUCCUCCUGGAUCAAGUCCAAGACCUCCCCAAGAGUGCCUUUCUUCUCCAUCUCAUGCUUCUUCUGAGCAUCUUUUGGGGUCUGGCACACACAGGAUGCUCCACGGCGCACAGUAAUCGGUGCCCUCCCAGCCACACACCUCAACCGCCUCUGCUCUAAAGAGCCACAACCCCUUGCCUUACAGGAAAACUUGUUCUACUUCCAGAAUAUCGUAAUAAAAAAAAUAAUACGGGUAUUAUUCAGCCCCUCAUGCAUCCUUGUACAUAUGUGGCUUGAGUCGUUCAUUCCUCCCAGCAGCCCUUCAAGGUGGGCAUGGUGACUGCUCUACUCUACUGCUGAAGACAUAGAGCCUCAGGGAAUCACAGGGAGAAGAGAUUGCAAAGCUGGGUUCCAACCUGGUUCUGUUUCCAAAGCCUAUAUUCUUUCCACUCUACCCAUCUGCCUGCCUCCCUAGAGACUGAGCGCUUGGACAGUGAAAGGGACCAGCACUUGGUGUGUCACAGGGCUGCAUGGUGCAGAGCCUCAUGCUGUUCCCCCUCAGGACAGCCGGCCACUGCACAGUAACAGGCCCCGCAGCACAGCAAUCACUGCUGCUAUUUUUCACUUUCCUUGUGGGUAGAUCUCAUUUCCCACAGGGGAUGAUAAACUGAUAGAGGGCAAGGACUUUUGAACUCAUAGUAGGUACUAACUAAAUAUUUCUGCUUGGAGGAAUUGGGCUGGGGGACGGGGUGAAGGGGCUUCCCUAGCCUUUGGCCUUGGUAUGGCAAAUGCCUCUGGUGGGCCGUCUCAGAUAGUCUUGUCUGAGACAGACUAAUGUGGAGUUGGCCCUUCAAGAAGUUUUACACCCUUACAAUCUUACAUACCACGGCCAUCAGGUGUCCUCGAGUUGGGGGGCGGCGGGAGUGUUGGAUUUUUGCCCUGUCUCGAGUGGGGUGGGCGAGAUAGCUAUCCUCCUCCACGGUGACCUGAAGAGAUGCACUGUGAUGAGUCAUGGGUGUUCUUCACAGACCCAUGUGAAGCAGCCCCUGAGUCCUCGACUGGGAAAUAAACCCACCCAUUAACUGCUUCUGAGAAAAUUCAAAGACAAAGCCUUUAUGGCGCCUGUGAGGGGCGGUGGGGUGUGUGUGUGUGUGUGGGGGGGGUUCCAAGGCUGGCCCCAUGCAUCCAAAGCACAGAAAGAGUUGGCAGAAAGACAUAAAAGGUGGGAGAAUGGGGUUUGCAAAGGGAGCUAAAGAAGUGUAGCUCGUGGGGGUAGCAGGUUAAGUGUGGUCCACCCAUAAUCUGUCCCUUUAGUGAGUCAUGGUUACUGCCUCUGCCCUGCUGUUCCUCCUCCCCAAAUGAGCCCCCCUGACCUCAUCCAAGAUGCGGUUCUUGGCUCGGGUGAUAGCGGAGUUGAGGGCAUUGAUCCAUGAUUCCUUCUCUUCUGGACUCACUGCUAGGAAGAUCAGGUUGGGAGCCUGUGAGGGGAAGAUUCUUGGUUCAGCCAGGGUUUUAGGGUGGGUGCCUCACUAGGACAGUAAAGAAAUAAGGAAUUAUCAUCUCAUUCUCUUAGACUCAGCUCGUAGGAGAGUUUCUGUUUCCAGAGUCACCCACAGAACUAAGAAAACCGGCCCCUAUUCCUAGAAGAUGCCACAGCUUAGAGGUUCCUUUAGAAAUGACCAAGGACGAGCUAAGAAGGUUAAUGGAUAUACAUACAUCUGUCACUGGAGAUAAUUAUAAGGAGGUUUGAUAAAUGAUAAAGGACAGAGACUAAAAUAAAGAUCUUUAAUGUUUGAGUAAACAGAAUGUAACAGGAUCUCCCCUGAAUUCUCUCAGACAAGAGAAACUGGGUUCAGAACUUCAACCAUCUAUCAGGUACAGGGAAAAGUGAUUUUCUUCCAAGAGAUGUGUGAUGUAUAUGUGCGUGUAUGUGAGAGAGCGAGCGAGAGAGACGAUCUUUGUGACUGGACAGUUUAAAAGCUGCUUUGCCUGCAGGGAAGGAAAUGGCCACAAUAUUCUCAGGUUAAAUAACAAAAGCUGGUAGAAGAGCAAGGCCAUCUGAGCCAGGAAUGGGGGAUGGAACCCACAGGGGGAGGGUGUUCUUCACCCCCAGCACCCCCCCUCCCCCAUGCAAGCGGCAAUGUUCUAGUGGCCAAGGAGGCAGGACAAACCUACCGUGUUGCCGGGCUGUUUGGAGUGGGCAAGAGUAAACUUGCUAUGAUUUUUCUUGCUCCUGCUUUUGGAUUUCCGGAGCUCUUCACACUUCUCAUAGUCACUCAGGAACUUCAGCAUCACGAAAACAGCAGUUCCCUGGAUCCGUGUGUUGAAUUUGUUCAGACAAGGCCGAGAAACAUGCCUGUACUUCUUACUCUCCUUCCUCCCUCCCAGGAACCGGGACAACCCAGCCUCGCCCCUGCAGGCCUCGAAGGCCACUGAGGGCAUCCAUCCACCUCUCCCUUGACAAAGAUGCACUUAUUCUGUCCCUGGAGGACGGAGGAUCAGAUCUGCGCCCUGCUACUUCCUUGCACGGUUCCAGUGAGAGCCUAAGCCCCUUCCUGCUGGAAGUUCUGUCUACACGUGGCCCUCCCCUGCCCUGGCGCCUCCCCUGCACCCGGUGCUGCCCUUCCCAGCUUCAGCCGGCACUCGGGCCCUCACCCUCUUGCUCAGUGUCUCACCGGAGACCCUGAUUCUGUCUACAUCCCCUGACGCCCCCCAGCCUGUGCUGAGGACCGCAAAGCAAAUUCCAGUAAGACUUCUGCCGAGGUCUGUUUGAAAUCUCUCAGUUGUUUGUCCUCCCCACUAAGGUGACCCCCCGCCAUCCCCGGACUGGGACUGGGGGUGCUGGGAGGCUGUGACUCCCGGACUGUGCUGGCUCACAGGAAGAGAGGGCCUCAGACACCAGCAGCCUGACAUCCGCAAGCCCUCUGGCCCUCUGCCGCCUCCAAGGACCCUGGGAACGCGCUGCUUGUGCUUUCCUGGGACGAGUGAUGAAAAGCACCAGUGCCUGUCUUGUUAAAGCUAAACAAGCAAAUAAAAGUAGUCUCGUGUCUACUUGGAAGUCA
Molecule: RNA transcript, 4954 nt
Organism: Canis lupus familiaris (dog)
Lineage: Eukaryota; Metazoa; Chordata; Mammalia; Carnivora; Canidae
Exons: 6
Source: RefSeq, a predicted model, not a curated record